RNAcentral lists this ribosomal RNA (253 nucleotides) under uncultured bacterium. RNAcentral describes it as "partial 16S ribosomal RNA". It matches the Rfam family "Bacterial small subunit ribosomal RNA", at positions 524 to 776 of the family's 1533-position model. The record is from RNAcentral.
GACGGAGGGUGCAAGCGUUGGUCGGAAUCACUGGGCGUAAAGAGCGUGUCGGCGGUUUGAUAAGUCGCAUGUGAAAGCCCGAGGCUCAACCUCGGAAGUGCAUUCGAAACUGUCAGGCUUGAGUACGGGAGAGGGAAGUGGAAUUCCUGGUGUAGAGGUGAAAUUCGUAGAUAUCAGGAGGAACACCGGUGGCGAAGGCGGCUUCCUGGACCGAUACUGACGCUGAGAAGCGAAAGCGUGGUGAGCAAACAGG